This 78-nucleotide small RNA is filed under the name Arabidopsis thaliana (thale cress). Its description in RNAcentral is "ATSL079730". Lineage: Eukaryota; Viridiplantae; Streptophyta; Magnoliopsida; Brassicales; Brassicaceae. The record is from RNAcentral.
UCUCCAUUGGGAAUCUAGGAACGUAACUCGGUUGUGUCUUGUUCAUGCUGCUUCUUCUGUCUAAAUCACCAGAAACCA